This 964-nucleotide long non-coding RNA is filed under the name Homo sapiens (human). RNAcentral's name for it is "HSALNT0396256". Lineage: Eukaryota; Metazoa; Chordata; Mammalia; Primates; Hominidae. The record is from RNAcentral.
AGUCGUCGCUUUCGGUUUUUAAUUUCCUUCCCCAUUUUUUUUCUUUACUUUUUUAUAAUGAGACAGGGGUCUCAUUAUGUUGCCCAGGCUGGUCUUGGACUCCUGAGCUCUAGCGAUCCUCCCGCCUCUGCCUCCCAAACUGUUGGGAUUACAGGCGUGAGCCACUGCGCCUGGCCUAUUUCUUUCCCUUUUUGUCUCCUUUCAAUUUUUUUUUUUAAACAAAAAGAGCAGUCUCUUUGAUCCAGAGCUUCACUGGAGGGUGAGGCUGUGGAUCCCAGGGUCCUGCGAGUGAGCGACUCAUUAUAUUCUACGCCUGGGCACCUCCCUCUCCCUACCCUAGUCCCGGCUCUUGAGGCUUCAACCAGGCGACAGCAGGAAGCAAGUUUAAUUUCACCCCCACCCCUACAAAUAUAGGUCCUUUUGCUGUUGCUUUCUACUUAUGGAAAUGGCCCUGGUUUCCUUUUGUUUCCUUUUGUGGUGGUGGCAUAAAAGUUCCUUCCCAAAUAAAUUCAUUUAAGUUUUUUUUUUUUUUUUAAAGGAAAAGCAAGUUGAUUGAAGGAAAAAUCUGUGGUCCGGGGAGAUGUUCCAAAUCCUGGAGGUGGAGAGGAAUGAAUGACGUUUGUGGCUUGCAGAUCAACUCCCCGCAGCGGGCGUGACGUUGUCACAGCCAAAAUUGUCCUCCACGCGCUGCUACGACAUACAGCUGCCCUCUGGACCUCACCCAGGGACACUGCUAUGAUCACUGAGCGAUUCACCAAUAUUCCAGCUCUUUCUCCCUCCAGGUACAAGAGACGAGAAGUCUUGCCAUGUUGCCCGGGUUGGUCUCCAACUCUUGGGCUCAAGACAUCCUCCUGCUUCAGGCUCCCUCAGUGCUGAGAUUUCAGCACACAGAGGAAAGGCCAUGUGAGGACACAGCAAGAAGGCGGCCAUCUGCAAGCCAAGAAGAGAGUCCUCACCAGGAACC